RNAcentral lists this long non-coding RNA (332 nucleotides) under Bos taurus (domestic cattle). RNAcentral's name for it is "long non-coding RNA NONBTAT004969". The record is from RNAcentral. Lineage: Eukaryota; Metazoa; Chordata; Mammalia; Artiodactyla; Bovidae.
AAAUAAAAUGCAAGGAUUACAAUAUGAGGAUGGGGAGGGAAAAUACAGUAUGAGAGACAUUGAAGGAAUGUUAUAGGAGAUUUAUCUUUGAACUUGAGGCCUGGGUUAAUGUAAUGAAGAUCUCUUCAGCACAGUGCUUGUGGAGGGGGAAAUACCAUUCCUGCCAGGAGUCUCCAAGGGGAGUUAAGAUUGCUCAGCAAGGUGGGGUGUAUCAGGACUGGCAGGUGUCAUGUUAGUACCGACAAGAAAAGUCUCAGCCAUUUAUAGUACAGUACAUCUGAUGAAGGUGAGUACUAGAAGCUUAAGUUCAGUUAUAGAAGCAGAUUAUCUAG